RNAcentral lists this ribosomal RNA (151 nucleotides) under Eleusine multiflora. RNAcentral's name for it is "5.8S ribosomal RNA". It matches the Rfam family "5.8S ribosomal RNA". From Rfam's summary of the family: 5.8S ribosomal RNA (5.8S rRNA) is a component of the large subunit of the eukaryotic ribosome. It is transcribed by RNA polymerase I as part of the 45S precursor that also contains 18S and 28S rRNA. The record is from RNAcentral. Lineage: Eukaryota; Viridiplantae; Streptophyta; Magnoliopsida; Poales; Poaceae.
CACAUGACUCUCGGCAACGGAUAUCUUGGCUCUCGCAUCGUGAAAUGCGAUACCUGGUGUGAAUUGCAGAAUCCCGUGAACCAUCGAGUUUUUGAACGCAAGUUGCGCCCGAGGCCUUUUGGUCGAGGGCACGUCUGCCUGGGCGUCACGU